Thamnophis elegans (Western terrestrial garter snake) is the source of this 9976-nucleotide long non-coding RNA. RefSeq lists it as uncharacterized. The transcript is spliced from 5 exons. NCBI's taxonomy places the organism in Eukaryota, Metazoa, Chordata, Lepidosauria, Squamata, Natricidae. The record is from RefSeq and is a predicted model, not a curated record.
GGGAGGUUCACACGCAGAUUGCAUUAUGGGUGUGCACACUUUAGGCCUGCGACAACAAAAAGAUUAGCCAUCACUGAUAUAGAAUAAAGUACUUAAUGAAGAAAGCCUUUGUUUUUCUGGUGAUGUAGAGGGAGGGGUCACGGCAGGGUUUUAUCACAGCCUGAUUGGUCCAUUAGACUGAGAGAAAACUUCUUAGCCUUCAGCUAUCCCAUUGGCUCCCAGCUUCCUCUCAGUCUUUCUGGUCCUAGGGCUGUUGAUUUGGCUCCCUAGGUAGGAAAUGUUUUUACUAGUGAGAUUUCUACAAUUCCUUGCUUUAAUUCGUGUUAUUGGCUAUUCUAAAUUGUCUAAAUUACUUAAAUUGAGUAAAUUCAGCUGCGCCCAGAUAGGACAGUCCUUGCUGCCCUAAAAUGGUGGGGAAGGCCCGUAGGGCAGCUCCUCUUUCCUUCCGUGGGCCAGGCUCCCUGUGCUGAUCCCCAGGGCCAUUGUCGGGGGUGCUGGGGGCCAUUCGCAGCCGCGGAAGAGCCCACAGCACGGGCGGCUCGAUUUGGAGGCUUUUGGCGCAAAAGAGGCGAGGGGGAACCGAGUGCAUCGUGCGCGCUGAUGCGCCCUCCUCGCGCUUACCAGCAACCCAGCCGAGCCUAACAGAGAAUUUCCAGCCGCUUCUUCGUCGCAGGCCCCCUCUGACUCCUCAGAAACUUUUCGGAGGCUGUAGUGAGCCACCAGCAACUAGCUCUUUCAAGCGGCGGUGAAGCAGAGCAUUUUAAAAACUCCGACGGAGCUCUGGCGGCCAUUUUGGAAUUGACAUGUGGCCUAGCCCUAAUGGUUGCCUGCGUCUCACAGAUCCUGGUCUACUAUACCACACCAACCCAGGUCCCAGUCUACUGCACCUAAGCCAGCUUGCAGAAAGGUCCCGGUCUACUGUACCAGACCAUCUUAAAGAAGAAACGGCUGGAGACGCAUGAGUGCCACAAAAUGGUGGCCAGGGCUGACUUUCUGCCAGUGGAGGCUACCCUAACCCCCGUGGGCAUGGAGAGCCUCCCAGACCAACCCAGGUCACGGUCUACUGUACCAGACCAACCCAGAUCCCGGUCUACUGCACCUAAGCCACUGGCUAGCACAAGAGCAUCCAGAGCGGUUGAAAAGGAUGAGCUUAGAAGGCAAAAGGCCUUGGAGAAGACAAUUGCUAGGGCAGAGAAACAGGACUAAUCCAGCAGGCCCCGAUCCAGGUCUAGGUCCCCAGUAGGGCCAGAUCCACGACAUUCACCUUCUCCUCGGGGUCGCUUCAGUCCUUCCUCCCCAUCAGCUUCCCCCUCCAGAUCCUACAUCAGUUCUAGGAGGGAGGGUUCCCCUUACUCCCUGCCAGGGUCCCCCCUACCUCAGGUGCAGAAACCUGAAAACCCCUUGGGGGUUCCUCUAGAGGCGUCCGUCCUGGGUCUCAUCAACAUGAUCCAGAUCCCUAUCAGGACAUGGAGGAUCUAGAACGCCUCCCAGAGAGUAUCAAGAGGUUGAUCUCAACUGCCAUAUCUCGUGGCAUUGCGCAGAGGGACAAACCUUCUUACCAUACCAAGUCUCAUUAUUCCUCAAGGACUCGGUCCAGGGACGUCUCUCCUUCCCUAGUUAGUGAGGGUUCCACGCGGGGUGAUGGAAACCAAAGUGAUAUGGGGUUUUCCAAAGAUGAGGACUCCGCUCUGGAUUCCCCAUCCUCUUCUAACCUUCUUCCACCCGCAGCCUUCAAGACCUUGCUUCACAAGGCACGCAAGACCACUAAAAUAGGGACUGGGGAUCCCACUGUUCCUCCUCCUAGGGAUCCUGACAUGGCAAUGUUCUUCAACACUGAUGUCAAUAAAGAGGAGAUUCCGGCUCCUCCGUUUUUUCUGGAGGUGCUCAAAGGGCCUUGAUCUCACCCUGCUAACUUCUCCACACCAGGCAGCAAUGAUCAUCGCGUCUAUAAUCUGGAGAAGGCAUUCGCUCAGGCCCUGCAGUUGCCCGCAAUCAACACUCCGAUUGUGGCCCUUGUCUCGUCUUCCCCAGUCAUAUCAGGGGACGCGCUGGACAAGAUGAAACCCGAAGAUAAACAGGCAGAGCUUACCAUCAGGAAAAAUUUUAAGGCCAUGGCCUGGGCAAUUAGGGCCGCAGCCGCAGCAUCGUACUUUAACCGUAAUACGGUGAUGUGGCUGUGCCAACUCCGUAUCCCAAUAGAAGACGAGGAAUUCCAUCAGGACAUCACCAAAAUUAUGGCGGCCUCAUAAUACUUUGCCAACGCCACCUUAGAUGCAGUCAAGUUUUCCUCUAGCGCCCUAGCCACAUCUGUCACUUCUCGCCACCUGCUCUGGCUGAGAAGUUGGCAGAUGGACAAUAAGUCCAAAUGGAACCUGGCCGCCGCACCGUAUAUGGGCCCGAGCCUCUUCGGGAAGGCCCUGAUUUUGGUAGAGAAUAAGGAGAAGAAGGUGCUACCUUCCACGGCUAAGAAGUCAGAAUCCCAUCCCCACCCCUACCACAGACCAUCAUUUAGGGACCCAAACCAUAAUAAUCAGGCCAGAUUCCAGACCUUCAGACAGGACAGGCAGUUCCAGCGAUCCACAUAUCAGGACCACAACAGGUACCAGCCACAAUCUAAGUGGCCCUUUCGCAGGGGGGGGGGGCGAUUGUCCCUUCCGCAGAGGGAAAUGACUCGAAACCAAGUCAACCCAUAGGUGGCCACUUCGCUCCAUAUGCAGAUCAGUGAGACAGGAUCACCACAGAUGCCUGGGUCAGAGCCACAGUUCGCCACGGCCUGAAGCUGGAAUUCCUCUCCACUUCUCCGAAUCUCUUUCGGAACUUCACUCCAUCCAGGAACCCAGAGCGCCGCCACCUGAUGGAUCUUGCCGUAGCCCACCUGCUAGAGAUCAGGGUGGUGGAAGAGGUUUCCUCUUGGGAACGUGGACAAGGUCACUAUUCGCACCUGUUCGUGGUCCUCAAGAGCUCGGGGGGUGGUGGAGGGCUAUCCUGGACCUCAAACGUCUGAACCAGUAUCUGGUUUACAGACGGUUCAAAAUGUCAUCUCUAAAGACCAUCCUCCAGGGCAUCCGCCGGGGGGAUUUCCUGGCCUCCGUGGAUCUGACGGAGGCCUACUUACAUAUUCCGAUGCUACAGACACACCGGAAAUACCUGUGGUUCUCCCACGGAGAAUGCCACUUCCAAUACCGUGCACUCUCAUUCAGUCUGGCCUCGGCCCCACGCACCUUCAUGAAGGUCCUGGCAGCAUUGGUGGCUCACCUCCGCUCGAAACCAGUGAGACUUCAAUGCUACCUAGACGACGUGUUGGUUCAAGCAGGUUCCCUCCAUCAGGCAAUACGCAGUCUCCGGCUCACCAUCCAAUGCCUCCAGUCCCUAGGGUUCUCUGUAAUUUUCCCGAAAAGUCAUCUGUCCCCGUCCACACAGAUCCUUCAUCUAGGGACGAUCAUAAAUGCAGAAUCAGGGAUAGUGCAGCUCUCCCUGGAACACCUAGCCAGUCUUCGCCAACUAGUAGCUUCAGUCCGCAGAAGGCGGUCCGUUUCCAUCCUGAUCUUGUCUCAGCUACUUGGCAAGAUGGUAUCCUGCAUAGGGAUUGUUCCUUGGGCCAGGCUGCACCUACGUCCACUCCAGUGGGCCUUGAUCCCCUUCCAAAAGAGGCACCUGAGCAAUUCUAACUGAACUUUGCGCCUGACACCAGAAGUCCGCUCGUCCCUCCUGUGGUGGCUAUCCCCAGUGGUACAAUGGGGGGGCUUGUUCUGGGAGCCGGACAGGGUAACCAUAACAAAGGAUGCGAGCCUCUUCGGCUGGGUGGCCGUAAUGGACACCAACAUAGCCCAGGGUCAGUGGUCUGCCACGGAUCUUCUCCACAAUAUAAACCGGCUAGCACUCUGACACUUCCAGCAUCAACUUCAGGGCCAACACAUCCUACUUCUCACGGACAACGUGGCCACAAAGGCACACGUAAAUCGACAAGGGGGGACACAUUCCCGGGCCUUGUGGCAGGAGGCCCUAUGGCUGGGGAUGUGGGCUGAGCGACACCUAGCCUCCAUAGUUGCAGAGCACAUCUCCAGGGAGAUGAAUCACCAAGCAGACUGGCUGAGCCAAGUGACCCUGGACAAUGGAGAGUGGCAGCUCAUUCCAGAACUAUUCCAGAAGGUCUGCCAGAGGUUUGGCAUGCCAGUGGUGAAUUUAUUUGCCACACCCAGAAACGCCCAACUACCGCGCUUCUUCUCCCGGUUCUGGUCCCGAGAGGCGGAGGGCACGGAUGCUGUCAGGAGCCACUGGCCAGCGGGCCUACUUUAUGCAUUCCCUCCCAUCUCCCUCAUUCCCGGGAUGGUCAGGAAGAGUCAGAGAACGGGCUCAGGUCAUCCUACUUGCCCCCUACUGGCCCAGGAAUCCAUGGUUUGUGGACCUAAUCCAACUGUUGGUCUCCCCACCCUGAAGGAUACCUCGGGAGGAAAUCGCUUUGUGUCAGGGGGUCCUGGUGCACCCGGAGCCCCAGUGGCUCCACUUGACCGCCUGGCACUUGAGCAGCAACUCCUGAGGAGUGUUAAUCUGUCCAAGGGGGUCAUUGCCACCAUCGAAGCAUCUAGGCGGCCUUCCACUACCAGAAUAUACAACUCCACUUGGAAGACAUUUGUGUUCUAGCCAUGACCUUGAUCCCUCCAGGGCCUCAAUCUCCAUAGUCUUGGAAUUCCUGCAAAAGGGUUUCGAGAACGGUCUGUCCCAAAACACUUUGCGCAGACAGGUGGCAGCCUUAGGCACGGUUUUGGAGGGGGAGGACUCUUAUACCCUCACACAUGCUCCCCUCACUAAACGCUUUCUAAAAGGGGCUGCAAACCUUUGUCCACCCCCAUUCCAUAGAUUCCCUACCUGGGAUCUCCCGCUGGUCCUCAGAGCAUUGACAGGGGAACCGUUCGAACCACUCAGGAUGGUUCAUAUGUGCCUAGUCACCCUUAAGGUGGUGUUCCUGGUAGCUGUCACCUCAGCCAGGCAUAUAUCUGAGUUGGGUGCCCUCUCUUCUAGGGAUGACCUCUGUCAGUUCCAUCCUGGCAGAGUGGUCCUCCGUCUAGAUGCCACAUUCCUCCCGAAGGUGAGUAUCCCGUUCCAUAGGGCUCAGGAGGUUAUUCUGCAUAAUUUUUGCCCGGAUCCGUCCCAUGAACGCAAACGGCUCUGGCAUAGGCUGGACGUUCGCCGGGCUCUCCGGAUUUACUUAAGAAGGACUGUGACAAUUUGCAGAUCAGAGGCUUUGUUUGUCUCCUUUCGACCGGGGUCCCUGGGAUCUAGGGAUUUUUCAUCCAUCAUAGGGAAGUGGCUGAGACAGGCCAUCAUGGCUGCCUAUGAAGCAUCAGGUCAGGCUUCCCCUGCAGGCAUCACUGCCCACUAUACACACAGCACCACCAUGACUGCAGCCUGGGCCACUAGGGGUCCAUUUGAAGACAUCUGCCGAGUGGCCACGUGGGCCCCUCCAACUCCGUUUAUAUGACACUACCGGCUGGACAUCUAUGCCUCGGCUGAGGCGUCCUUUAGUAGAAGGGUCCUUCAACAGGUGGCAGUCACUCCUCCCUGGGUCCUUCUCCUUCCCUCCCUGGGAUUGUAGCUUAGGUAUGUCCCUGCCGUGACCCUUCCCUCUACAUCACCGGAAAUAGAACUUUGGUCUUACUUGAACGUGUCUUUUAGGUGAUGUGGAGGGAGGGGUCACGUUCCCACCCUAGCUAGUUGAGUUAGGGUCCGGGGGAGGUCUCUUCUGGGAUCUCUGUGGGUUUUGUUUGCAGACAAGGACUCUGUUCGCCAUCGAGGAAACUGGGAGCCAAUGGGAUAGCUGAAGGCUAAGAAGUUUUCUCUCAGUCUAAUGGACCAAUCAGUCUGUGAUAAAACCCUGCCGUGACCCCUCCCUCCACAUCAGACACAUUCAGGUAAGAACCAACGUUCUUUUUCUAUUCACAAUUAGUUCUUCAAAAAAGGGCAGAUUUUAGAAAAUCAUUAUGAUUUGCAACUUUUUCUUCCAUCAAAUAAAGGAACUUUUUAUUCUAUCUAUUAUACUCAAAUCUUGCAUAUUUUUAUUUCUAAGAAGACUGACAUAAUUAAUCUUGUCCCCAUUCCUAUUUGCGCUCUUAAAAAUAAAAUAAUAUAUAUGUUAAUUUGGUUUUCCCUUGGCUUUUUCCCCUUCUGACUUUACUCUCAUGUAGUCUAUUUGUAUAUGAUGAAAUGUUUAAAAAUGAGAAAAAUAUUCUAAUCAAAUAUUAUGUGAUUCUCAUUUUUAAAAAGAAAAUUAACUGAAUAUUUUUUUUAAUCUGGCCAUAAUCUACCCCUAGAAAAUUCAAAGUGCAAAUAUUGAUAACAUAAGAUGCUAAUUUAGCACCCAUUUCAUUGCUGUUAAAAGCAAAUGAUCCUGUCAAAAAAUAGUGGUUGACAUUUAAUUUAAUACCAUAAUCAUGACUGAAAACUUAAAAGAUUUGUACCCAGAUUUUCAAUAUUUAAAUGAAAAUUUGACAGUGUAAUAACAAGCAAUGGCUGUCAUUCCCCUAAUAAAAUAAUUUAAAAUCUCAUGCAAUGUAAUCUAAUUGAAAUGUCUUGAUAUUUUGUUUAUUUUUUUGUAUCUUUUACAGUGUUUCAAAAAUUUGGUGAAAAGAUCAUGGAUGACUUAUGCAAUAAAGUACAUGAUACUUGACUAGAAGAUGAGCUCUGACUAAAUACUUUGAAUGUUUUGGUAAAUUUAUUUAUUUAUCUGCAUUUAUAUCUGCAUUUCUUAAUGUAUUUUUUUUCUUUUGUCUUUAUGACAAAGUUGCAAACUUUAUUAACAAAACAUUGUUACUAAAGUCUUACUAAUGAACUAGUGAUAGCAAAUAAAAUGGUCCUGCAUUUUAAAAUAAUUUCUCAUUAAAUUACAGGAGAGAAAAUAUGUUGUGGAAAUUGCUGGAGAAGUUCCUAUUUUUCUGGAGAAAACCUGCAAAAAUAAUCUCUUUUUUUUGGCCCCAUACUCAAUGGAGAAUUUGGAAAUAUAAUUUUUGCUUAGGUUUAGAAAUAAAUCAACCACGCCCAAUCUUACUUAUAACUUAACAGCUUGUUUAGAACUGCUUGUUAUUUGAUCACUGUAUUCCACGAGGGAAGGGGGGGAGCUCUUUACUGCUAUAUAUUCAUUAAAUCCAUUCUGAACUAGCAAUAAUACAUUGACUAUUACUAUGGAACAUUGGUUCCGGUGUUGGAACAAUUCCCUAUUACCUUCCUCCCACGCUGAAAAUAGGUACUUUAUUUCUCCUCUUUGUCCUUUUAUGUCCUUGCUAGUUUUAAAUUAAUGAUUAGCCCAAGUUGUAAUGUUUCUUCUACCAACUUCUGUCUAUGUAUAGCCUCUAAAACUUAACCAAAUUCUCCUUAUUAAUUUUGCUUUGUCCUUUGUUCUACUUCUAUUAUUUAUUUGAUGGCUGUUGUUUUAGUAUGGAGUGAGAAGAAAAAUUUGGUAAGAAAUAAUCAUAUAGCUGAAAAAAUUAACUUUCAAUUUUUUUUCUAAGCAGCCAGUAUUUCUUGUUCAUAAAUGACUUCUUCUUUCCAGCUGUUGCAUUAUUGCUCUAUUAUGUUGUUUUCUUGAAAGGGGGAAAGAGGAAGAAAGGAGGUAGAUAAAGAAACUGCCUCCAUUCUUGACAUAAGCAUCAUCAUAAUUAACAGGACAGGCUGUUCUGUGAAUCUCAUUUUCAGGUAAAGCAUGUGCACAAAUAUGAUAUUUUCUCGAGAUGUUAUUCAAUAAUGUCUUUCAGUGAGACAUCAGAGCGGGUUGAUAAUGCUGCCAGAAGUACAAAUUCAACUCUUCAGUUCUGAUAUGAUCAAACAGAGGAGGUGGUGCGCUCAGAGUGUCAUCAGUUAAAGAUUGUCAUUUAUAAGAACCAAAGAAGUAUAUCUUCUCUGUCAUAGUGUCAUCCUCUGCAAUAUUACCCCAAGAAAGAAAGAAAAAGAAAGAAGGAAGGAAGGAAGGAAGGAAGGAAACCUCAAAGAAACUAACCCACACAAAACCAAAAUCAAAAUGGUCAGAAGCAGAAUGGCUAAGCAACUCUUCUAUCACUAUAUUUCUCCAAAUCUUCCAGCCUUCCUUUUUCUCAUAAAAAGGAGCCGCUUGAAAUUGGUUAUAGACUUUGAAGACUACUGUCCAUUUUAUUUAUAUCACUAUACUAUAACUGUCUUCAUUUUGUGAAGAUCACACAUCUGGAUUGACAGCCUCCUAUUGAUACACAUGAUACUAUAGGGGACGACCUUUGAUUGGAUAUAAAGGUGGAUAAAGUGGAACAGCACAAGGCCUAGAAUUAAAUCCUGUGACACCAUCAAACUGCUGAAAAACCCUCUUUGAAUUUGAUUUUUGAACUAGCUGUGUAUUAUUUGCUAUGCUAUCAAAUUUAUGUUUAACUAGCUUAACUAGUAAAAAUUUUUACUACCAGUUCUGUGGGCAUGGCUUAGUGGACAUGGCUUGGUAGGCGUAGCAGGCGAAGGAUACUGUAAAAUCACCAGUAGGAGGCAGGGCUAGUCAGAUGUUGUAUUUACCGGUACUCCAAACUACUCAAAAUUUCCGCUACCGGUUCUCCAGAACUGGUCAGAACCUGCUGAAUACCACCCUUUGGAGUGGGAGAGACUUCUGACUUUCUGCCUGUUACCCAUUGACAGUAUCAGAAGUCACAAAACAUGUGAUUAGGGGGCUCUUGCAGCCGCCACAAUUUGUGAAUAAAAGUAAUCUGAAUAUCCUUGAAAUUUUAAUUCCACAAUAGUCAUGGGUUCAAGAUCUUUUAACACUUUUUUUUUAAGAUCAUGGAUUUGAAGUACCAUAAUACAAAAAUUAUUCUGCUCUAAUAUACUGUUUGGACUAAUUGAAGGGUAUAAACAGAUGCACAAUAGGAGUUGUAUUAGUAUCUGCAAUCCACUUUCCCAUUCAGUCCUUUUCUCCCUCAAAUAAAAACUGACUGUCCUUUUGUCAUAGAAGUUUGAAUAAGUUAGAAAAGUAGAAUUUUCAAAAAAGUAACUUUCAACCAACUUCAUUCCUAUCUCCAUCAGAGAAGGAAUGUAUUUCAACUUGAAUGGAAAGCACAAUUUCACAGCUGGGUUUGUAGUUUAAACUGUAGCUUUGUUCACCUCCCAUGUAGGAUUUGGGCUUCUAUUACCAUCAACCUUAAGCAAAGGGUGAAUAGUAAAGGACUGCUAAGACCUGCAUUGCAAAACACAUCAUGAAGUCCACAUAUCUUGUAGUUACCAGUGUUUGAAAACACUGAUCUACUAGUUAGAUCUGACCCUUCUUAGUUUUUCUACCUAUUUUUUCAAUAUCAGCCAAGGUCAUCCAAGGGCAAUGCAGCAUCUUCAAAGGUGUUAAUAAAUAGCUAUGAAGGCAAAGAGUUUUACAACUUAAUUGAAGUCAUAUUUUGCUUUAUUUUUUAAAUAUGAGCUAUGGAUAUGAUUAUCAUUUUAAGGAGUUUGGACCACAAAUAAAUAAUAUCAUUUUGGAAUGGAAGACUAAAAACUGAGCCUUUCACAGCAACUUUCAAAACCAAUUUUUAGGAGAAAGGAGCUGAUGUCACAAAAGAAUGAUGUGCGACCUCAGAGCUCCGAGAUCGCAGCCAACACUUUUGCCGCUAGAUGGUCCAUUCGGACCUAAACCAUCCCGAAGAGAUGGUGACAGGGAAGAGUAUGUCUUGCUGAUCACAGGGACAUCACAAAGUCCCUGAUUGAUCCAAUAGAAUCUCUUCUUGCUGGCGACAAAAAGCACAGUCUCAAGUUGCUGAAGUCGGGACAGCUCCGCAAUGGGAGGAAAGGGGAAAGAGAAAGUGUGUCCAUCUGGUGAGGAAAAUUUAUUUUAAUAAAAGACUGCCCAAAAAAGAUUGAAGUUAAAUUAAACUGGUAAAGAAAAGAAAAUAAGCAGUGAAUCUAAGUAUUAUUGAACAGUGUGUUAUCUUUUUAUUUUUUUCUAUCGAUGGAAGUUUUUUGAAUUUUUUUUACUUUUUAAAGUGAAAGU